GUGCUCUUAGCUUAAUUGGAUAAAGCGCCAAGCUUCGAACUUGGAGAUUAUUAGUUCGAGUCUAAUAGGGCAUU
Molecule: transfer RNA, 74 nt
Filed under: Tupiella akineta
Lineage: Eukaryota; Viridiplantae; Chlorophyta; Ulvophyceae; Ulotrichales; Tupiellaceae
Description: tRNA-Arg
Rfam family: tRNA
About the family: Transfer RNA (tRNA) molecules are approximately 80 nucleotides in length. Their secondary structure includes four short double-helical elements and three loops (D, anti-codon, and T loops).
Source: RNAcentral